Molecule: transfer-messenger RNA, 80 nt
Filed under: Parvularcula bermudensis HTCC2503
Lineage: Bacteria; Pseudomonadati; Pseudomonadota; Alphaproteobacteria; Parvularculales; Parvularculaceae
Description: transfer-messenger RNA Parvu_bermu_HTCC25
Rfam family: Alphaproteobacteria transfer-messenger RNA
About the family: Bacterial tmRNA, also known as 10Sa RNA or SsrA, is named for its dual tRNA and mRNA-like properties. Its role is to liberate the mRNA from a stalled ribosome.
Source: RNAcentral
GAUGCUUCGGUAUCUAUAGCGAUAAAUGGCGUUCAGAAUAAGCGGCCCGGACCCGGGGGCGGUACCCGGCGGCUCCACCA